RNAcentral lists this ribosomal RNA (1354 nucleotides) under Pediococcus pentosaceus. RNAcentral's name for it is "bacterial SSU rRNA". It matches the Rfam family "Bacterial small subunit ribosomal RNA", at positions 68 to 1409 of the family's 1533-position model. Lineage: Bacteria; Bacillati; Bacillota; Bacilli; Lactobacillales; Lactobacillaceae. The record is from RNAcentral.
UACUGAUUGAGAUUUUAACACGAAGUGAGUGGCGAACGGGUGAGUAACACGUGGGUAACCUGCCCAGAAGUAGGGGAUAACACCUGGAAACAGAUGCUAAUACCGUAUAACAGAGAAAACCGCAUGGUUUUCUUUUAAAAGAUGGCUCUGCUAUCACUUCUGGAUGGACCCGCGGCGUAUUAGCUAGUUGGUGAGGUAAAGGCUCACCAAGGCAGUGAUACGUAGCCGACCUGAGAGGGUAAUCGGCCACAUUGGGACUGAGACACGGCCCAGACUCCUACGGGAGGCAGCAGUAGGGAAUCUUCCACAAUGGACGCAAGUCUGAUGGAGCAACGCCGCGUGAGUGAAGAAGGGUUUCGGCUCGUAAAGCUCUGUUGUUAAAGAAGAACGUGGGUAAGAGUAACUGUUUACCCAGUGACGGUAUUUAACCAGAAAGCCACGGCUAACUACGUGCCAGCAGCCGCGGUAAUACGUAGGUGGCAAGCGUUAUCCGGAUUUAUUGGGCGUAAAGCGAGCGCAGGCGGUCUUUUAAGUCUAAUGUGAAAGCCUUCGGCUCAACCGAAGAAGUGCAUUGGAAACUGGGAGACUUGAGUGCAGAAGAGGACAGUGGAACUCCAUGUGUAGCGGUGAAAUGCGUAGAUAUAUGGAAGAACACCAGUGGCGAAGGCGGCUGUCUGGUCUGCAACUGACGCUGAGGCUCGAAAGCAUGGGUAGCGAACAGGAUUAGAUACCCUGGUAGUCCAUGCCGUAAACGAUGAUUACUAAGUGUUGGAGGGUUUCCGCCCUUCAGUGCUGCAGCUAACGCAUUAAGUAAUCCGCCUGGGGAGUACGACCGCAAGGUUGAAACUCAAAAGAAUUGACGGGGGCCCGCACAAGCGGUGGAGCAUGUGGUUUAAUUCGAAGCUACGCGAAGAACCUUACCAGGUCUUGACAUCUUCUGACAGUCUAAGAGAUUAGAGGUUCCCUUCGGGGACAGAAUGACAGGUGGUGCAUGGUUGUCGUCAGCUCGUGUCGUGAGAUGUUGGGUUAAGUCCCGCAACGAGCGCAACCCUUAUUACUAGUUGCCAGCAUUAAGUUGGGCACUCUAGUGAGACUGCCGGUGACAAACCGGAGGAAGGUGGGGACGACGUCAAAUCAUCAUGCCCCUUAUGACCUGGGCUACACACGUGCUACAAUGGAUGGUACAACGAGUCGCGAGACCGCGAGGUUAAGCUAAUCUCUUAAAACCAUUCUCAGUUCGGACUGUAGGCUGCAACUCGCCUACACGAAGUCGGAAUCGCUAGUAAUCGCGGAUCAGCAUGCCGCGGUGAAUACGUUCCCGGGCCUUGUACACACCGCCCGUCACACCAUGAGA